Anopheles aquasalis is the source of this 889-nucleotide long non-coding RNA. RefSeq lists it as uncharacterized. Lineage: Eukaryota; Metazoa; Arthropoda; Insecta; Diptera; Culicidae. The record is from RefSeq and is a predicted model, not a curated record.
UUUUUUUUUCUCUCUCAUAGUCAAUUUUCUGUACACAAUUUUAACAGUUGUCGUACACCAAAAACGCUGUAAAACGAUGCCGACUAAAGUAAAAUUCCCGCUUCCAACAACAUUAUGCGGUAUGCGGCGUAAAAUCCUCCGCCAGGUGACCAGCUAGGAAAAGAAAAGCGGGCAAGACGCUGCUGCUGCAGCUGCUGCGACGAGAUGAAAUGCAUUUCCGUGCCAUUAGGCGAACCACCAUAGAUCGGUUGCAGAUAAAUCUACCAUUACUCAAUGCCCACACCAACUGGAGGAACUGGCCUGGGAAGCUUAUGAGGCGACUGAAAACUGGGAUUCCGCGCGAUGAAAAAGUUUGCCGCUCCAGACGUUGACCCCUCGCUUCGUGAGGGGUGAAUUACCGCUCUACUGAUCCUUGAGGGAGCCAAGCAAGGUUAAUGCAGAGAGGAAGGCUGCAUACUGGUAGACGAGAAGUUUCUCGACUAUCAAGCGGAUUUUUCAACGAUUUGCUGGUGUAUCCGCACUGGCUCAAAGGCAGUGCUGUGCUCGGGCUGAGCAUUUACAAUCCGAUUUAUUUUUUAAAAAGAAACAAGAGGAUUGCGAAAAGCGAAAGUCUCAACACGUCCGACUCUGCUAUUUGAUGAAUCGACGGCUAACGGAGUGACUGAGGAGCUAUCCGAGAGUGUCAGCAAGCAGAAAUCGAAAGCGAAAGUGCACCGGACAGCGAACCGGUUGAAGAAGAGAGAGAAAAAAAGGGAAAAGCAGAAAGGAGAAAGAUCGCAAGGAUGUCUUGGCAAAUGGUUAAAUCUAGCGCGUGCAACUGCGCUUACUCGUGCCUGCGAAAAAAGCAUGACCCGCGUUCCUGCCCAUGAGCGCUGCGCAUCAUGCAGAA